UCCCUGGUGGUCUAGUGGUUAGGACUCAGCACUUUCACUGCCGUAGCCCAGAUUCAAUCCCUGGUCUAGGAA
Molecule: transfer RNA, 72 nt
Filed under: Sus scrofa (pig)
Lineage: Eukaryota; Metazoa; Chordata; Mammalia; Artiodactyla; Suidae
Rfam family: tRNA
About the family: Transfer RNA (tRNA) molecules are approximately 80 nucleotides in length.
Source: Rfam by way of RNAcentral